UUCUUGGUCAUUUAGAGGAAGUAAAAGUCGUAACAAGGUUUCCGUAGGUGAACCUGCGGAAGGAUCAUUACAGAAAGUAAACGCGGAUCGAACCGCGAACUUCUAAACCUUUGACGAUUGACUCGCGUUGCCUCGGCGGGUUCUCCCGCCAGAGGAUACAUCAAAACUCCUGUUUUAACGGUGUUGUCUGAGCUACAAGCAACGAAUCAAAACUUUCAACAACGGAUCUCUUGGUUCUGGCAUCGAUGAAGAACGCAGCGAAAUGCGAUAAGUAGUGUGAAUUGCAGAAUUCAGUGAAUCAUCGAAUCUUUGAACGCACAUUGCGCCCCUUGGUAUCCCGAGGGGCAUGCCUGUUCGAGCGUCAUUUCACCACUCAAGCCUGGCUUGGUGUUGGGCGACGUCCCCUUUGGGGACGCGCCUCGAAACGCUCGGCGGCGUGGCACCGGCUUUAAGCGUAGCAGAAUCUUUCGCUUCAAAAGUCGGGGCCCCGUCUGCCGGAAGACCUACUCGCAAGGUUGACCUCGGAUCAGGCAGGGAUACCCGCUGAACUUAAGCAUAUCAAUAAGCGGAGGA
Molecule: ribosomal RNA, 573 nt
Filed under: Cenococcum geophilum
Lineage: Eukaryota; Fungi; Ascomycota; Dothideomycetes; Gloniales; Gloniaceae
Description: eukaryotic LSU rRNA
Rfam family: 5.8S ribosomal RNA (bases 211-364)
Source: RNAcentral